This is a non-coding RNA of Peromyscus maniculatus bairdii (prairie deer mouse), 1968 nucleotides long. The record is from RefSeq and is a predicted model, not a curated record. Lineage: Eukaryota; Metazoa; Chordata; Mammalia; Rodentia; Cricetidae.
CCCGCCCCCCUAUUGCUAUUUCCCUCAGCCCCACCCUGGUCACCACCUCUGGUUCCCAUUCUGGAGGCUCUACAGGUACUUGUUCAGGCUGUUACCCCAACGUCCUGGAGUGGGUUACCCCAAAGCUAGAUGUCCUUGUGGAAAUCUCUACCUCACCUCAGUCUCCCCAGCUGUGAAAUGGAGUCAAGAGCAACUUCAUCUAAGCAUUUGGAGGCUUAACUGAGAAAUGAAGUCUACUGAUAAUUGAAUGGAUGAUGACGCCACCUCUUUCCAGUAUGUUGACUUCCUAGUUAAACAUCUUCAGUCAUCUCAGCCAUUCUUCAGUUGGUAUGGAGACAAAGUGAUGGGGAUUGCUGAUCUGGGAGACAGAUGGAGCUAGCUCCUCAUCGGGGACUCAUGCCCAGUAGCUGAGUCCCCUUAGCCAAGUCACUCAAUUUUCACAGGCUGUAAGUCAUUCUGUUGGGAAAAUGUUGAUUCUGUCUAUCAGCUCUCCCCUUCUAUGGAAAAGGGUCCUCCUGUUCUCACUCAGUACAUGCCUGUUGUGAGCACUGGGUCCAUGAGCCAGACCUGACUGACCAGUGAGGGGUCUCCAUGUCUUUGUCACCAAAGCAAAGUCCUGCCACUUUACUAACACUGAAGACUCUUGAAAAGAUAAGUUUCUUUCUUUUGAAUUAUGAAUUUUAAGAAUACAAGCUUGGACCAAAAUUUAUUUAGCCAGUAUAUUUUGAGGAACUAAAUAUUAUCAUGGUUGUGAGUACUUCAUCAUAUCAAUGUAUACCUCUUUAGAUAUUUUCAACCCAGUGAAUUCAACACAGGUCAGUGGUUAUGUGGAGUUAGAAGGACUGAGGGGAAAACUGAGACUAAGUUGAUCCUCAGCUUAGUAACUGCUGGGGAGGCUUUCACCCCUAAGGCUGGAGAUGACAGGUUGGAAGCUGUGUUAGCGGGUCCUGAAUCUCAGGAGAGGGAGUCUGGGCUGGACUAUGGUGAUAAAUUUCUUAGUCAAAUACCAACCGAAAUACUGUUAUAAGGUUAUUUUUAAGAUGUACAUAGCAUUUAAAACCAGUCAACUUUAGGCAUUUCACCAUAUGUAGUGUGGAUAGGCUUCAUCUAAUAGUUGAAGGACUUGAGAGAGAAGAUUGAGGUUCCCCCACCCAAACAGAACAGAUUUCCCCCUCUUCAGCUAGCAAUAUAGAAAUUCUAACUUUUGGAUUCAAGACUGCGACAUCAGUUCUUUCCCAGAUCUCUUUCCAGCCUGCUGACUUGUGUCUUUCAGAUUUGUCAUUCCAAAACUGUGUGAGCCAAUUCCUUAAAAACCUACAAACCAUGUACUCAUGAACCAAUGUAUGUAUCUCUAUUAACUGUCUACUUACCUUUCACCUUCCUGUUUAUCAUUUAUGUGUUUAUAGAUUAAUCAUCUAUCAUUUAUCCAGUCUUUCCUAUUGGGUCUUUUCCCCUGGAGAAUCAUGACUAUUUCAGAGCAGGGGGAGAAGCAGAGUAGAAAUAGGGUUCCAGCCAAAGCUCUCAAGGCAUUAAAAAAAAAAGCAUGGAGAGCUUGACGGUGAAACUAUACUGAGAAGUUUGCUCUGCUUGAGACAAAAGAGUCAACCUCUGGGCAGUCUUCUGCAGAAGGAUGUUGGUACACACAGACUUGGUCACGUGAACUCAUCUCUCUCUCAUGUUCACAUGUGGGCACCUAUGUAGAGGCUGGAGAUCAACCCUAAUUACUGUUUCUCAGGUGCCACCCACCUUCUCUUUUGAGCCAGGGUCUCUUCAUUGACUUUGCUAUCACAGAGCAGGCUGAGCUGGCUGGUGUGAACCCCAGUGACCCACCUGUCUCCAGCUCCCCAGGACUGAUGUUACAAGCAUGAACAGCCACACCUGGCUUUUUAAUGUAGGCUCUGGGGGAUUGAAAGAUCUUCCUGUUUACAGAACAAGCACAGAGCCAACUGAUCUAUCCCUGUAGCUUGC